AGUGAACGCUGGCGGUAUGCCUAACACAUGCAAGUCGAACGGCAGCACAGUAAGAGCUUGCUCUUACGGGUGGCGAGUGGCGGACGGGUGAGGAAUACAUCGGAAUCUACUUUUUCGUGGGGGAUAACGUAGGGAAACUUACGCUAAUACCGCAUACGACCUACGGGUGAAAGCAGGGGAUCUUCGGACCUUUCGCGAUUGAAUGAGCCGAUGUCGGAUUAGCUAGUUGGCGGGGUAAAGGCCCACCAAGGCGACGAUCCGUAGCUGGUCUGAGAGGAUGAUCAGCCACACUGGAACUGAGACACGGUCCAGACUCCUACGGGAGGCAGCAGUGGGGAAUAUUGGACAAUGGGCGCAAGCCUGAUCCAGCCAUGCCGCGUGAGUGAAGAAGGCCUUCGGGUUGUAAAACCCUUUUGUUAGGGAAGAAAAGCAGCAGGUUAAUCCCCCGCUGUUCUGACGGUACCCAAAGAAUAAGCACCGGCUAACUUCGUG
RNAcentral lists this ribosomal RNA (492 nucleotides) under uncultured bacterium. RNAcentral describes it as "partial 16S ribosomal RNA". It matches the Rfam family "Bacterial small subunit ribosomal RNA", at positions 29 to 507 of the family's 1533-position model. The record is from RNAcentral.